RNAcentral lists this ribosomal RNA (468 nucleotides) under uncultured bacterium. RNAcentral describes it as "partial 16S ribosomal RNA". It matches the Rfam family "Bacterial small subunit ribosomal RNA", at positions 28 to 507 of the family's 1533-position model. The record is from RNAcentral.
GACGAACGCUGGCGGCGUGCUUAACACAUGCAAGUCGAACGGAAAGGCCCUGCUUUUGUGGGGUGCUCGAGUUGCGAACGGGUGAGUAACACGUGAGUAACCUGCCCUUGACUUUGGGAUAACUUCAGGAAACUGGGUCUAAUACCGGAUAGGAGCUCCUGCUGCAUGGUGGGGGUUGGAAAGUUUCGGCGGUUGGGGAUGGACUCGCGGCUUAUCAGCUUGUUGGUGGGGUAGUGGCUUACCAAGGCUUUGACGGGUAGCCGGCCUGAGAGGGUGACCGGACAAAUUGGGACUGAGAUACGGCCCAGACUCCUACGGGAGGCAGCAGUGGGGAAUAGUGCACAAUGGGCGGAAGCCUGAUGCAGCAACGCAGCGUGCGGGAUGACGGCCUUCGGGUUGUAAACCGAUUUCGCCUGUGACGAAGCGUGAGUGACGGUAAUGGGUAAAGAAGCACCGGCUAACUACGUG